Molecule: ribosomal RNA, 478 nt
Filed under: uncultured bacterium
Lineage: Bacteria
Description: partial 16S ribosomal RNA
Rfam family: Bacterial small subunit ribosomal RNA
Source: RNAcentral
GACGAACGCUGGCGGCGUGCUUAACACAUGCAAGUCGAACGGUAGGGCCCUUCGGGGUACACGAGUGGCGAACGGGUGAGUAACACGUGGGUGAUCUGCCCUGCACUUCGGGAUAAGCCUGGGAAACUGGGUCUAAUACCGGAUAGGACUCCGGACUGCAUGGUCUGGGGUGGAAAGCUUUUGCGGUGUGGGAUGGGCCCGCGGCCUAUCAGCUUGUUGGUGGGGUGAUGGCCUACCAAGGCGACGACGGGUAGCCGGCCUGAGAGGGUGACCGGCCACACUGGGACUGAGAUACGGCCCAGACUCCUACGGGAGGCAGCAGUGGGGAAUAUUGCACAAUGGGCGCAAGCCUGAUGCAGCGACGCCGCGUGAGGGACGACGGCCUUCGGGUUGUAAACCUCUUUCAGCAUCGACGAAGCGAAAGUGACGGUAGGUGCAGAAGAAGGACCGGCCAACUACGUGCCAGCAGCCGCCGUAA